AGCUUCAUGGCGCAGUGGCAGCGCACCAGGUUCAUAGCCUGGGUGUUCCCCGUUCGACCCGUGGUAAAGCUA
Hypoxylon fuscum is the source of this 72-nucleotide non-coding RNA. Lineage: Eukaryota; Fungi; Ascomycota; Sordariomycetes; Xylariales; Hypoxylaceae. The record is from the annotation of a GenBank genome assembly.